UGGCCAAGGUUGCCAGCAAGGUCAAGGCAGCUGAUAUAAAGGUCCUCUUUGUGAAGCCUCUUGGGUAUUGGACUCAAUUUUUUUAUCAUUGCCACGGCAUUUUCUCACCCUCAGAUUGAUGCUAUUGGGUAAAAAAUAAGAGAUCUAGCUGAGAAGAAGUAUGGGAAAGUUCCAUCUGGGGACUCAAAACCCAACUCAUGGACCUUGUUGGACUUUGGUGACGUAGUAAUAAUCCAUAUAUUUCUUCCUCAACGAAGAGCUUUCUACAACUUGGAAGAAUUUUACUGUAAUGCAACAUCCAUUGAGCUGCCUUUUGAAAACCAACCGCCAUUUCGUAGUUGAAAUGUUUCUAAUUGUAUUAAAUUAUUAAAGGGUCCAUUUUAGUUGCUGCAACGUCCAGCUCUUUGUAAAGACCCCUUCAUAUUCUAAAAGUCAGCAUUAUUUAUAUUUCGUCC
Juglans regia (Persian walnut) is the source of this 455-nucleotide long non-coding RNA. RefSeq lists it as uncharacterized. The transcript has 3 exons. Lineage: Eukaryota; Viridiplantae; Streptophyta; Magnoliopsida; Fagales; Juglandaceae. The record is from RefSeq and is a predicted model, not a curated record.